AUAUAUAUAAAUAUCUAGGUUUGUGUAAGUACACUCUAUGAUAUUUGCACAAUAAUGGAUUACAGGCAUGAGCUGCCACGCUUGGCCCAUAGUGGAAUUUCUUAAUAAUACAGAGUUAGUGGAACUAAGUACACAAAUUCAACAAAUUUUAAAUUGAAGGCCCCACAAUAGCUUCCAUCAGUAUGUCUAACCAGUUAGGAACCUAUUGCCCAAGACCAGGCAGGGAGUAAUACUGGUUGAACUAAGGUGAUGGUGUUGAAAGUGAUGAAAUAUGGCUGCAUUUUGGAUAUAUUUUGAAGUUGAC
Molecule: long non-coding RNA, 304 nt
Filed under: Pan troglodytes (chimpanzee)
Lineage: Eukaryota; Metazoa; Chordata; Mammalia; Primates; Hominidae
Description: long non-coding RNA NONPTRT016028
Source: RNAcentral